GGCGAACGGGUGAGUAACACGUGGGCAAUCUGCCCUUCACUCUGGGACAAGCCCUGGAAACGGGGUCUAAUACCGGAUAUGACACGGGGUCGCAUGAUCUCCGUGUGGAAAGCUCCGGCGGUGAAGGAUGAGCCCGCGGCCUAUCAGCUUGUUGGUGGGGUGAUGGCCUACCAAGGCGACGACGGGUAGCCGGCCUGAGAGGGCGACCGGCCACACUGGGACUGAGACACGGCCCAGACUCCUACGGGAGGCAGCAGUGGGGAAUAUUGCACAAUGGGCGAAAGCCUGAUGCAGCGACGCCGCGUGAGGGAUGACGGCCUUCGGGUUGUAAACCUCUUUCAGCAGGGAAGAAGCGAGAGUGACGGUACCUGCAGAAGAAGCGCCGGCUAACUACGUGCCAGCAGCCGCGGUAAUACGUAGGGCGCAAGCGUUGUCCGGAAUUAUUGGGCGUAAAGAGCUCGUAGGCGGCUUGUCGCGUCGGAUGUGAAAGCCCGGGGCUUAACCCCGGGUCUGCAUUCGAUACGGGCAGGCUAGAGUUCGGUAGGGGAGAUCGGAAUUCCUGGUGUAGCGGUGAAAUGCGCA
This 582-nucleotide ribosomal RNA is filed under the name Streptomyces sp. MWW064. Its description in RNAcentral is "bacterial SSU rRNA". It matches the Rfam family "Bacterial small subunit ribosomal RNA", at positions 97 to 692 of the family's 1533-position model. The record is from RNAcentral. Lineage: Bacteria; Bacillati; Actinomycetota; Actinomycetes; Kitasatosporales; Streptomycetaceae.